This 471-nucleotide ribosomal RNA is filed under the name uncultured Escherichia sp. RNAcentral's name for it is "bacterial SSU rRNA". It matches the Rfam family "Bacterial small subunit ribosomal RNA", at positions 71 to 541 of the family's 1533-position model. The record is from RNAcentral. Lineage: Bacteria; Pseudomonadati; Pseudomonadota; Gammaproteobacteria; Enterobacterales; Enterobacteriaceae.
GCUUGGCUUCUUUGCUGACGAGUGGCGGACGGGUGAGUAAUGUCUGGGAAACUGCCUGAUGGAGGGGGAUAACUACUGGAAACGGUAGCUAAUACCGCAUAACGUCGCAAGACCAAAGAGGGGGACCUUCGGGCCUCUUGCCAUCGGAUGUGCCCAGAUGGGAUUAGCUAGUAGGUGGGGUAACGGCUCACCUAGGCGACGAUCCCUAGCUGGUCUGAGAGGAUGACCAGCCACACUGGAACUGAGACACGGUCCAGACUCCUACGGGAGGCAGCAGUGGGGAAUAUUGCACAAUGGGCGCAAGCCUGAUGCAGCCAUGCCGCGUGUAUGAAGAAGGCCUUCGGGUUGUAAAGUACUUUCAGCGGGGAGGAAGGGAGUAAAGUUAAUACCUUUGCUCAUUGACGUUACCCGCAGAAGAAGCACCGGCUAACUCCGUGCCAGCAGCCGCGGUAAUACGGAGGGUGCAAGCGU